Molecule: ribosomal RNA, 436 nt
Filed under: Helorus sp.
Lineage: Eukaryota; Metazoa; Arthropoda; Insecta; Hymenoptera; Heloridae
Description: partial 16S ribosomal RNA
Source: RNAcentral
CUGUCCAAUGAAUUUAAUUUAAAAAAUAUAUUAAAUGACUGCAGUAAUUUAACUGUACUAAGGUAGCAUAAUCAUUUGUUUUUUAAUUUGAAACUUGAAUGAAAGAUUAAAUGAAAAUAAACUGUUUUAAUUUUAAUUGAAUAAAUUUAUUUUUUUAUUUAAAAAAAUAAAAUUUUUUUAAAAAGACGAUAAGACCCUAUAGAAUUUAAUUUAAUAUAAUUAUAUUUAUAAUUAAAUUUAAAAUUUAUAUAUUUAUAUUAAAUUUAAUUGGGGUUAUUUUAAAAUUUAAUUAAUUUUUUAACUUUUAAAACAAAAAUUUUUGUUAAUUUUGAUUAAUUAAUAAUUAUUAAAAGAAUAAAUUACCUUAGGGAUAACAGCGUUAAUUUUUAUAUUAAUUUUAUUAAUUUAGAAAGUUUGCGACCUCGAUGUUGAAUUA